Molecule: long non-coding RNA, 463 nt
Organism: Rhododendron vialii
Lineage: Eukaryota; Viridiplantae; Streptophyta; Magnoliopsida; Ericales; Ericaceae
Exons: 2
Source: RefSeq, a predicted model, not a curated record
GAAAUCAGAUCAAUAUUACCACAGAAACAACAAAUAUCCAACAUUAUCUAAUAAGAAGCACAGGAGACAUGACUAUUAUGCCCUCCACGGCUACUAAAAUACCUUUUAUCGUAAAACUAUUUCCAACAAACGUACAAUGGAAAAUAGAGAACUUCAUGCAAUCUAACAGCCCAAAACUAUGAGUUGAAACAAUGAUAAAGCCUAGUAUAAAAUAGAAAUGAGCGCUCUCACUUUAUCAAACAUGGAGGACUUAUUAUUUGAACUCCAUAGGGGCCUCAUAAAAUUCCCAGCAGUCAAUAUGAACCAAAAACUCUUUUUCAGAAGAUUAGGUGCUCCCAAAAUUAGUUAGAUAAUUAUCCAACAGUAGGCUUGCCUCAGCCAGCAUCCAAUAGUUGCAAAAAAAAUUCCCCAAAGUCCACAUCCAUGUUCCAGAAAAGACUUGGUAAAACUACAGCGACCUCAA